Molecule: long non-coding RNA, 800 nt
Filed under: Sarcophilus harrisii (Tasmanian devil)
Lineage: Eukaryota; Metazoa; Chordata; Mammalia; Dasyuromorphia; Dasyuridae
Description: lncRNA (ENSSHAG00000023235.1)
Source: RNAcentral
CUAAGACAUAUAAUAUUGAAUAGGAUUCUACAAGUCCUAUAUUGGCAACUAAUAAACCUAUUUAUUUUGCAUGAUAUUGUAAUUGAAUUUUGUUGUUUAAUUAUCAUUGAUGAUAAAACUUUUGUCCUUUUCUUAGAUCAUCCAGGGAAAAAUCGUAAUGUGAAGCCUAGUCAAUGUGGUCUUCCAAUGAAAGAUCCUUCCACAAGCCAAGAAUCAGAGAAAGUAGUCAAGACAAAACGAAAAUUAGGUAAAGUUGGUAAUUCCACAAUUUAGGAAGAAAAAAAUAUAUACUUAGGGACUUUUCGGUAUUCAUAUUAACUUUUCCCACUUUCUCCUCAUUUCUAUUCCAGCUUUUAUGGAAAAAGUUGAUUUACCUGCUGCAGAAAACACUGAUGGUAAUUUUCUUUUUUAUUCUCUAUAUUUACAACUAUGAGGAUAAGUGAAUUUUUCACAAAAUCACACAUAGUAGAAGACGUAUCUUGUAGCCUUCAGGUUUAUUUUUUUUAAUUUUGUGUUUUGAACACCUAAUUUCAAACUGCAUUUUUGUACUUCUUGGCUCUUUUCUUCAUAAAGUUUACAUAAAUCCAAUAUUGCAUGUAUUUGCCAAUUCAAGUUAUCAUAUAUGAACCAAUAUCAUAUCAAAUGUCUCCUGUUUGACUCUAAGAUGCAAAGAUAAAAACAACUGUUAGUGACAAGAGAUUUACUUUCUGUGAGAACAAAAAAAGAUAAGUAUCUUACAAGAUCUGGAAUUAAAGCAGGCAAGGGAGAGAGAUAAAAAUGCUCUGAGAAAAGUAAAGGGA